UGCUGGAGGUAUCAGAAGUGCGAAUGCUGACAUAAGUAACGAUAAAGCGGGUGAAAAGCCCGCUCGCCGGAAGACCAAGGGUUCCUGUCCAACGUUAAUCGGGGCAGGGUGAGUCGACCCCUAAGGCGAGGCCGAAAGGCGUAGUCGAUGGGAAACGGGUUAAUAUUCCCGUACUUGGUGUUACUGCGAAGGGGGGACGGAGAAGGCUAUGUUGGCCGGGCGACGGUUGUCCCGGUUUAAGCGUGUAGGUGUGUGUUCCAGGUAAAUCCGGUUCACUUUAACACUGAGGCGUGAUGACGAGGCACUACGGUGCUGAAGCAACAAAUGCCCUGCUUCCAGGAAAAGCCUCUAAGCAUCAGGUAACAUCAAAUCGUACCCCAAACCGACACAGGUGGUCAGGUAGAGAAUACCAAGGCGCUUGAGAGAACUCGGGUGAAGGAACUAGGCAAAAUGGUGCCGUAACUUCGGGAGAAGGCACGCUGACACGUAGGUGAAGUGAUUUACUCACGGAGCUGAAGUCAGUCGAAGAUACCAGCUGGCUGCAACUGUUUAUUAAAAACACAGCACUGUGCAAACACGAAAGUGGACGUAUACGGUGUGACGCCUGCCCGGUGCCGGAAGGUUAAUUGAUGGGGUCAGCGCAAGCGAAGCUCCUGAUCGAAGCCCCGGUAAACGGCGGCCGUAACUAUAACGGUCCUAAGGUAGCGAAAUUCCUUGUCGGGUAAGUUCCGACCUGCACGAAUGGCGUAAUGAUGGCCAGGCUGUCUCCACCCGAGACUCAGUGAAAUUGAACUCGCUGUGAAGAUGCAGUGUACCCGCGGCAAGACGGAAAGACCCCGUGAACCUUUACUAUAGCUUGACACUGAACAUUGAGCCUUGAUGUGUAGGAUAGGUGGGAGGCUUUGAAGUGUGGACGCCAGUCUGCAUGGAGCCGACCUUGAAAUACCACCCUUUAAUGUUUGAUGUUCUAACGUGGACCCGUUACCCGGGUUGCGGACAGUGUCUGGUGGGUAGUUUGACUGGGGCGGUCUCCUCCUAAAGAGUAACGGAGGAGCACGAAGGUUGGCUAAUCCUGGUCGGACAUCAGGAGGUUAGUGCAAUGGCAUAAGCCAGCUUGACUGCGAGCGUGACGGCGCGAGCAGGUGCGAAAGCAGGUCAUAGUGAUCCGGUGGUUCUGAAUGGAAGGGCCAUCGCUCAACGGAUAAAAGGUACUCCGGGGAUAACAGGCUGAUACCGCCCAAGAGUUCAUAUCGACGGCGGUGUUUGGCACCUCGAUGUCGGCUCAUCACAUCCUGGGGCUGAAGUAGGUCCCAAGGGUAUGGCUGUUCGCCAUUUAAAGUGGUACGCGAGCUGGGUUUAGAACGUCGUGAGACAGUUCGGUCCCUAUCUGCCGUGGGCGCUGGAGAACUGAGGGGGGCUGCUCCUAGUACGAGAGGACCGGAGUGGACGCAUCACUGGUGUUCGGGUUGUCAUGCCAAUGGCACUGCCCGGUAGCUAAAUGCGGAAGAGAUAAGUGCUGAAAGCAUCUAAGCACGAAACUUGCCCCGAGAUGAGUUCUCCCUGAGACUUAGAGUCUCCUGAAGGAACGUUGAAGACGACGACGUUGAUAGGCCG
Molecule: ribosomal RNA, 1614 nt
Filed under: Salmonella enterica subsp. enterica serovar Heidelberg
Lineage: Bacteria; Pseudomonadati; Pseudomonadota; Gammaproteobacteria; Enterobacterales; Enterobacteriaceae
Description: bacterial LSU rRNA
Rfam family: Bacterial large subunit ribosomal RNA
Source: RNAcentral